UGUAAAAGAACACAUCUCCAAGUGUUUGUUUCAGAAUCUAUAUCACUAUGGGUAUUUGUAUUGUGUGUAAGCCAAAAAUAGACAUAACGUCACGUUAUGGGUUGCAUUUCUUUUUUUUUUUUUGACGUUUUUUACCAAUCACGACGUUUAGAGUAAACUUUUGAAACAGAGAGCGAAUUGUUGAGCGUUUUUAUCUAUUCACAUCGACCAAAUGGUUAAAAGCAUUUAUAAUUAAAUUGGUGGAAUUCAAUCAAUCGGGAUGUACUGAUGUUAUGCUUGGUAGCUAAAUGAAAAUGAGGAAAUUUUUAAACGUAAAACGAAAAAACGUAAGGCAUGAUUCAUAUUACAACAAGGCAGAAAAUUAAAUAUGGCCGGCAGCAACAAACUACAACUCUGGAUUUCAAUUCAGAUAGAUUUGUGUUAUUGAUGUUUAAAUCAUCUUUUUCUUUUCUUAGCAUGAGAUUUAAUACUUACAGCUUAAAGACAGGAGUGGCUUAGUGUAUUUUUGAAAACCUCGAGUCGAAUGGUAAACAAUAUCUCUACAUUCGCUUGUUAUAAUCAAAAAUAUUAACAUGCUUUAUUAAACUUUCAUGUAAAAAGAAAAAU
Molecule: long non-coding RNA, 606 nt
Filed under: Mytilus galloprovincialis (Mediterranean mussel)
Lineage: Eukaryota; Metazoa; Mollusca; Bivalvia; Mytilida; Mytilidae
Source: RNAcentral